UUGCAUUUUUAAUUUAUUUUAAAAUAAUUUUUUGUUUUUUACUUAAUAUUUGUUUUAAAAUAAUUAAUUUUUUUAUUUGACAAAAAUAGUCAAAAAUAAAAAAUUAUUUUCACGUUUUGUUAUCAUUAUUUUUAUUAUUGUGUUUUAUUAUUAUUAUCAAAAACUCAAAAAGAGAAUUUUUUGAAUUAUGGUUUUUUUAGAAAAAAAU
Molecule: long non-coding RNA, 208 nt
Filed under: Lathyrus oleraceus (garden pea)
Lineage: Eukaryota; Viridiplantae; Streptophyta; Magnoliopsida; Fabales; Fabaceae
Description: Pisum sativum (pea) long non-coding RNA (PSAT_LNC040503)
Source: RNAcentral